Propionispora sp. 2/2-37 is the source of this 235-nucleotide non-coding RNA. Lineage: Bacteria; Bacillati; Bacillota; Negativicutes; Selenomonadales; Sporomusaceae. The record is from Rfam.
GGAAGCCGGCACAGUAAGGUGUAGCCAGCCGCCGUUAUCCAGCCUUGGAACCAAAGCCGUGAGGCGAGGUUUAAGCGUAGGUAAGAAACCAUGCGAGCCGUAACACGAAAGUGUGAAGCUAUGGAGCCCCGUCAGAUUAUAUAAAGUGGAAGCCGAUGCCUUCACCUCGGCAGUAGGCAAUAACGUUUGGUCGACAGAGGCGAGAACAAACGGGUUCCAUCGGGGUCUUAGAGCA